RNAcentral lists this ribosomal RNA (504 nucleotides) under uncultured bacterium. RNAcentral describes it as "bacterial SSU rRNA". It matches the Rfam family "Bacterial small subunit ribosomal RNA", at positions 29 to 524 of the family's 1533-position model. The record is from RNAcentral.
AACGAACGCUGGCGGCGCGCUUAACACAUGCAAGUCGAACGAGAAGGCGUAGCAAUACGCUUGUAAAGUGGCGAACGGGUGAGGAAUACAUGGGUAACCUACCCUCGAGUGGGGGAUAACCCGCCGAAAGGCGGGCUAAUACCGCGUACGCUUCCGAUCUUGCGGGAUCGGAAGGAAAGCUGUCCCUUGGGGAUGGCGCUCAAGGAUGGGCUCAUGUCCUAUCAGCUUGUUGGUAGGGUAACGGCCUACCAAGGCAUCGACGGGUAGCUGGUCUGAGAGGACGAUCAGCCACACUGGCACUGCGACACGGGCCAGACUCCUACGGGAGGCAGCAGUGAGGAAUAUUGCGCAAUGGGCGAAAGCCUGACGCAGCGACGCCGCGUGGGGGAUGAAGGUCUUCGGAUUGUAAACCCCUUUCGGGUGGGAAGACGGCCCUAGACAACUAGGGCGGACGGUACCGCCAGAAGCAGCCACGGCUAACUUCGUGCCAGCAGCCGCAGUAAU